CGGGACACGUGGUAUCCUGUCUGAAUAUGGGGGGACCAUCCUCCAAGGCUAAAUACUCCUGACUGACCGAUAGUGAACCAGUACCGUGAGGGAAAGGCGAAAAGAACCCCGGCGAGGGGAGUGAAAAAGAACCUGAAACCGUGUACGUACAAGCAGUGGGAGCCUCUUUAUGGGGUGACUGCGUACCUUUUGUAUAAUGGGUCAGCGACUUAUAUUCUGUAGCAAGGUUAACCGAAUAGGGGAGCCGAAGGGAAACCGAGUCUUAACUGGGCGUUAAGUUGCAGGGUAUAGACCCGAAACCCGGUGAUCUAGCCAUGGGCAGGUUGAAGGUUGGGUAACACUAACUGGAGGACCGAACCGACUAAUGUUGAAAAAUUAGCGGAUGACUUGUGGCUGGGGGUGAAAGGCCAAUCAAACCGGGAGAUAGCUGGUUCUCCCCGAAAGCUAUUUAGGUAGCGCCUCGUGAAUUCAUCUCCGGGGGUAGAGCACUGUUUCGGCAAGGGGGUCAUCCCGACUUACCAACCCGAUGCAAACUGCGAAUACCGGAGAAUGUUAUCACGGGAGACACACGGCGGGUGCUAACGUCCGUCGUGAAGAGGGAAACAACCCAGACCGCCAGCUAAGGUCCCAAAGUCAUGGUUAAGUGGGAAACGAUGUGGGAAGGCCCAGACAGCCAGGAUGUUGGCUUAGAAGCAGCCAUCAUUUAAAGAAAGCGUAAUAGCUCACUGGUCGAGUCGGCCUGCGCGGAAGAUGUAACGGGGCUAAACCAUGCACCGAAGCUGCGGCAGCGACGCUUAUGCGUUGUUGGGUAGGGGAGCGUUCUGUAAGCCUGCGAAGGUGUGCUGUGAGGCAUGCUGGAGGUAUCAGAAGUGCGAAUGCUGACAUAAGUAACGAUAAAGCGGGUGAAAAGCCCGCUCGCCGGAAGACCAAGGGUUCCUGUCCAACGUUAAUCGGGGCAGGGUGAGUCGACCCCUAAGGCGAGGCCGAAAGGCGUAGUCGAUGGGAAACAGGUUAAUAUUCCUGUACUUGGUGUUACUGCGAAGGGGGGACGGAGAAGGCUAUGUUGGCCGGGCGACGGUUGUCCCGGUUUAAGCGUGUAGGCUGGUUUUCCAGGCAAAUCCGGAAAAUCAAGGCUGAGGCGUGAUGACGAGGCACUACGGUGCUGAAGCAACAAAUGCCCUGCUUCCAGGAAAAGCCUCUAAGCAUCAGGUAACAUCAAAUCGUACCCCAAACCGACACAGGUGGUCAGGUAGAGAAUACCAAGGCGCUUGAGAGAACUCGGGUGAAGGAACUAGGCAAAAUGGUGCCGUAACUUCGGGAGAAGGCACGCUGAUAUGUAGGUGAAGCGACUUGCUCGUGGAGCUGAAAUCAGUCGAAGAUACCAGCUGGCUGCAACUGUUUAUUAAAAACACAGCACUGUGCAAACACGAAAGUGGACGUAUACGGUGUGACGCCUGCCCGGUGCCGGAAGGUUAAUUGAUGGGGUUAGCGGUAACGCGAAGCUCUUGAUCGAAGCCCCGGUAAACGGCGGCCGUAACUAUAACGGUCCUAAGGUAGCGAAAUUCCUUGUCGGGUAAGUUCCGACCUGCACGAAUGGCGUAAUGAUGGCCAGGCUGUCUCCACCCGAGACUCAGUGAAAUUGAACUCGCUGUGAAGAUGCAGUGUACCCGCGGCAAGACGGAAAGACCCCGUGAACCUUUACUAUAGCUUGACACUGAACAUUGAGCCUUGAUGUGUAGGAUAGGUGGGAGGCUUUGAAGUGUGGACGCCAGUCUGCAUGGAGCCGGCCUUGAAAUACCACCCUUUAAUGUUUGAUGUUCUAACGUUGGCCCCUGAUCGGGGUUGCGGACAGUGUCUGGUGGGUAGUUUGACUGGGGCGGUCUCCUCCUAAAGAGUAACGGAGGAGCACGAAGGUUGGCUAAUCCUGGUCGGACAUCAGGAGGUUAGUGCAAUGGCAUAAGCCAGCUUGACUGCGAGCGUGACGGCGCGAGCAGGUGCGAAAGCAGGUCAUAGUGAUCCGGUGGUUCUGAAUGGAAGGGCCAUCGCUCAACGGAUAAAAGGUACUCCGGGGAUAACAGGCUGAUACCGCCCAAGAGUUCAUAUCGACGGCGGUGUUUGGCACCUCGAUGUCGGCUCAUCACAUCCUGGGGCUGAAGUAGGUCCCAAGGGUAUGGCUGUUCGCCAUUUAAAGUGGUACGCGAGCUGGGUUUAGAACGUCGUGAGACAGUUCGGUCCCUAUCUGCCGUGGGCGCUGGAGAACUGAGGGGGGCUGCUCCUAGUACGAGAGGACCGGAGUGGACGCAUCACUGGUGUUCGGGUUGUCAUGCCAAUGGCACUGCCCGGUAGCUAAAUGCGGAAGAGAUAAGUGCUGAAAGCAUCUAAGCACGAAACUUGCCCCGAGAUGAGUUCUCCCUGAGACUUUAAGUCUCCUGAAGGAACGUUGAAGACGACGACGUUGAUAGGCCGGGUGUGUAAGCGCAGCGAUGCGUUGAGCUAA
This 2497-nucleotide ribosomal RNA is filed under the name Escherichia coli. RNAcentral describes it as "partial 23S ribosomal RNA". It matches the Rfam family "Bacterial large subunit ribosomal RNA", at positions 418 to 2894 of the family's 2925-position model. RNAcentral also lists the same sequence under 2 other names. Lineage: Bacteria; Pseudomonadati; Pseudomonadota; Gammaproteobacteria; Enterobacterales; Enterobacteriaceae. The record is from RNAcentral.